GGUGCGCCAACCUCGCAAGAGGAAGCAGCCGGCCACGGUAGGCUCAGUGACUGGGGUGAAGUCGUAACAAGGUAGCCGUAGGGGAACCUGCGGCUGGAUCACCUCCUUUCUAAGG
This 115-nucleotide ribosomal RNA is filed under the name Pseudomonadota bacterium. RNAcentral's name for it is "Proteobacteria bacterium partial 16S ribosomal RNA". It matches the Rfam family "Bacterial small subunit ribosomal RNA", at positions 1429 to 1533 of the family's 1533-position model. The record is from RNAcentral. Lineage: Bacteria; Pseudomonadati; Pseudomonadota.